This is a small nuclear RNA of Monodelphis domestica (gray short-tailed opossum), 102 nucleotides long. NCBI's taxonomy places the organism in Eukaryota, Metazoa, Chordata, Mammalia, Didelphimorphia, Didelphidae. The record is from Ensembl.
AUUCUGACUCUGAAUGUACUAAAAUAUGGAAAAAUAUAGAAAAGUUUAGCAUGGCCCCUGCUGAAAGGUUACAAGAAUUUUCUUGAAAUAUUCCAUAUUUCU